GGGCGAAAGCUGAUGCAGCCAUGCCGCGUGUAUGAAGAAGGCCUUCGGGUUGUAAAGUACUUUCAGUUGUGAGGAAGGGGGUGUCGUUAAUAGCGGCAUCUCUUGACGUUAGCAACAGAAGAAGCACCGGCUAACUCCGUGCCCAGCAGCCGCGGUAAUACGGAGGGGUGCGAGCGUUAAUCGGAAUUACUGGGCGUAAAGCGCAUGCAGGGUGGUUCAUUAAGUCAGAUGUGAAAGCCCGGGGGCUCAACCUCGGAACUGCAUUUGAAACUGGUGAACUAGAGUACUGUAGAGGGGGGGUAGAAUUUCAGGUGUAGCGGUGAAAUGCGUAGAGAUCUGAAGGAAUACCAGUGGCGAAGGCGGCCCCCUGGACAGAUACUGACACUCAGAUGCGAAAGCGUGGGGAGCAAACAGGAUUAGAUACCCUGGUAGUCCACGCCGUAAACGAUGUCUACUUGGAGGUUGUGGCCUUGAGCCGUGGCUUUCGGAGCUAACGCGUUAAGUAGACCGCCUGGGGAGUACGGUCGCAAGAUUAAAACUCAAAUGAAUUGACGGGGGCCCGCACAAGCGGUGGAGCAUGUGGUUUAAUUCGAUGCAACGCGAAGAACCUUACCUACUCUUGACAUCCAGAGAAGCCA
Molecule: ribosomal RNA, 638 nt
Filed under: Vibrio sp.
Lineage: Bacteria; Pseudomonadati; Pseudomonadota; Gammaproteobacteria; Vibrionales; Vibrionaceae
Description: bacterial SSU rRNA
Rfam family: Bacterial small subunit ribosomal RNA
Source: RNAcentral